AAAGGGCACUCUAAUGAGACUGCCGGUGACAAACCGGAGGAAGGUGGGGAUGACGUCAAGUCCUCAUGGCCCUUAUAGGUGGGGCUACACACGUCAUACAAUGGCUGGUACAAAGGGUUGCCAACCCGCGAGGGGGAGCCAAUCCCAUAAAGCCAGUCGUAGUCCGGAUCGCAGUCUGCAACUCGACUGCGUGAAGUCGGAAUCGCUAGUAAUCGUGGAUCAGCAUGUCACGGUGAAUACGUUCCCGGGCCUU
This 253-nucleotide ribosomal RNA is filed under the name uncultured Hydrogenophaga sp. RNAcentral describes it as "partial 16S ribosomal RNA". It matches the Rfam family "Bacterial small subunit ribosomal RNA", at positions 1130 to 1382 of the family's 1533-position model. The record is from RNAcentral. Lineage: Bacteria; Pseudomonadati; Pseudomonadota; Betaproteobacteria; Burkholderiales; Comamonadaceae.